UUUUCUCAUUACAUAAACGAUUGUUCUCAAUCUUCAAUUCAAUAUAGAGUUAUACAUUACAAUCAACAUCUCCAGCCUACAUCCUUCCAUUACAAUAGUGUUGCCUAACAAUUCUACUGAUCAGCUGAUUCACAGGUCCACAGUGGUAGCAGCAGCAGGAAAUUCCAUCAGUUGAGCAGCAGCAACAGGGGACUCAGCAACAAGGGACCCUAUCACACUUGAUAUUAUGAGGUUACCUUUUUGAGACCAGGUGGGUUGAUCGCGUUAGCUGCCAGUUUAUGCUAGUAUAACUACAAUGGCAUCAUCUUCUUAGAAUCCUGUGUCUGUGGAUCCAAGAUGCUGUCAAAAAAUGUUAUUUGCUUCUCAGAAGUGAUUUUUUCCUGUAAUCUCCAUUCCGAUCCCUUCCCCUGCCAAAAUGUUGUCAUCAAGUGGAAAGUCUUUUAACUUUCAAGUAUAAUGUGUUCUACAGU
RNAcentral lists this long non-coding RNA (470 nucleotides) under Olea europaea subsp. europaea. Lineage: Eukaryota; Viridiplantae; Streptophyta; Magnoliopsida; Lamiales; Oleaceae. The record is from RNAcentral.